CUUAAUCACUCACGUAGGACACCGGUAUUGAGAUCUAAUCGCGAUGGAGUACGUCGAUGGCCUGGCUGCAACGUGGAAUAACUGUAGCAUGCAGUCACACCAGUAAUGUCGUAGCAGACUAGGGCCGGAUGUGUCCCGCGGGACUCUGGUUGGAGCAAACUGCCUUAGCUAAUGCGGGAUAAGACCAGUUGGCC
Zootermopsis nevadensis is the source of this 194-nucleotide long non-coding RNA. RefSeq lists it as uncharacterized. The record is from RefSeq and is a predicted model, not a curated record. Lineage: Eukaryota; Metazoa; Arthropoda; Insecta; Blattodea; Termopsidae.